CAAUAGCGUAUAUUAAAGUUGUUGCAGUUAAAAAGCUCGUAGUUGGAUUUCUGGUGGGAGCGAUCGGUCUGGCGCUUAGCGCGAGUACUUGCAUCGUCUCCGGCCAUCCUUGGGGAGAGUCUGUCUGGCAUUAAGUUGUCGGGCAGAGGAUCCUCAUCGUUUACUGUGAAAAAAUUAGAGUGUUCGAAGCAGGCUUAUGCCGUUGAAUAUAUUAGCAUGGAAUAAUAAGAUAGGACUUUGGUACUAUUUUGUUGGUUUGCGCACCAAAGUAAUGAUUAAUAGGGACAGUUGGGGGUAUUCGUAUUCCGUUGUCAGAGGUGAAAUUCUUGGAUUUACGGAAGACGAACUACUGCGAAAGCAUUUACCAAGGAUGUUUUCAUUAA
Molecule: ribosomal RNA, 383 nt
Filed under: uncultured eukaryote
Lineage: Eukaryota
Description: partial 18S ribosomal RNA
Rfam family: Eukaryotic small subunit ribosomal RNA
Source: RNAcentral